AAAUAGACAAACCCUAUAUUUCUGUGUCUAACUUUGACUGUCCGUCUUAUAUGAAAUUUUUUUAUAAUUCGUAUUUUCAUUGUUGUUAGAUGAUAAAACAUGAUUAAUAUUUUAUACAUGACUUGUCUUUUUAAUUUUUUUCAUAAUUUUUUCAAAUAAGACGAACGGUUAAACAUUGGACACGGAAAGCAGGGUGUCAUUUUUC
Oryza sativa Indica Group (long-grained rice) is the source of this 205-nucleotide microRNA precursor. It matches the Rfam family "MIR812 microRNA precursor family". NCBI's taxonomy places the organism in Eukaryota, Viridiplantae, Streptophyta, Magnoliopsida, Poales, Poaceae. The record is from Rfam.